GACGAACGCUGGCGGCGUGCCUAAUACAUGCAAGUUGAGCGCUGAAGGUUGGUACUUGUACCAACUGGAUGAGCAGCGAACGGGUGAGUAACGCGUGGGGAAUCUGCCUUUGAGCGGGGGACAACAUUUGGAAACGAAUGCUAAUACCGCAUAAAAACUUUAAACACAAGUUUUAAGUUUGAAAGAUGCAAUUGCAUCACUCAAAGAUGAUCCCGCGUUGUAUUAGCUAGUUGGUGAGGUAAAGGCUCACCAAGGCGAUGAUACAUAGCCGACCUGAGAGGGUGAUCGGCCACAUUGGGACGGAGACACGGCCCAAACUCCUACGGGAGGCAGCAGGAGGGAAUCUUCGGCAAUGGACGAAAGUCUGACCGAGCAACGCCGCGGGAGUGAAGAAGGUUUUCGGAUCGUAAAACUCUGUUGGUAGAGAAGAACGUUGGUGAGAGUGGAAAGCUCAUCAAGUGACGGUAACUACACAGAAAGGGACGGCUAACUACGUG
This 497-nucleotide ribosomal RNA is filed under the name uncultured bacterium. RNAcentral describes it as "partial 16S ribosomal RNA". It matches the Rfam family "Bacterial small subunit ribosomal RNA", at positions 28 to 507 of the family's 1533-position model. The record is from RNAcentral.